GCCGAGCUCUGAGGGGACCGGCACCGGCACCGGGACAGCGGCCGGCACCGGGCUCCUCUGCCGGAUCGUGGAUCGCUGCCCUCACAGCCGGCUGCGGCAGCGCGGAGCCCGCCGCACUGGGAGCCCUCCCGGUGUCCCCACAGCAUGCCCCGCCACUGCUGUGCAGAUGCUGCCGAGCAAAGUUGUGACAGAGCUCGAGCGCAGAGAGCAGCAAAUCCGAGUGGGACAAACCUGAGCGAAUGAGAAUCCGGCUCCCCGAAGAGACAUCACCUUAUAUGGGAACAGCACGGACAAGAGCAUGAACGGUCCGGCCGGGCUGCUGAGACUCUGAGCCUGGGAUUUAGAGGCUGGACCUUGAGAGCUCUGCAGGUUUCCAGCCCCACCUCCUGUGUGUACAGUGUCAGUGGUGGCCUCACACCUCUCCUGCCCCUGGGCCAGAUGCACACAGCUGGCUCAGAACACACUGGGCAGCUGCAGCUUUGUGUGACUGUGCAGCAAGAGAGGCACAGCCAAGGUAUGUGCCACCAAUGGCUCUGCAGUGACUUCAUCACUCAUUUUGGUCCCAGCCCCUGAUGCAAAACCAGUCUAAGACCAGGUAGAAUGGUGUCCCAAGCAAUAUGGGAUAAGAAGCUGGAGAGCUCUGUGUCCACUGAUGACCCCAGAACCCCAGAACCCCACUGCCCUGUGCCUUGCCUGGCACUGCCAGCCCUGUGGAGUGGGUGCUGUGUGUUCUCCCAGCCCAGAAGAGUGUUACACCUUCUCUGCACUGGUGUGAAGUGGUGGGGGUGGAG
Camarhynchus parvulus is the source of this 791-nucleotide long non-coding RNA. RefSeq lists it as uncharacterized. The record is from RefSeq and is a predicted model, not a curated record. The transcript is spliced from 3 exons. NCBI's taxonomy places the organism in Eukaryota, Metazoa, Chordata, Aves, Passeriformes, Thraupidae.